Molecule: transfer RNA, 74 nt
Filed under: Camelus bactrianus (Bactrian camel)
Lineage: Eukaryota; Metazoa; Chordata; Mammalia; Artiodactyla; Camelidae
Also listed under: 2 other names
Rfam family: tRNA
About the family: Transfer RNA (tRNA) molecules are approximately 80 nucleotides in length.
Source: Rfam by way of RNAcentral
GGGGGUAUAGCUUCAGGGUAAAGCACAUGCUUAGCAUGCACAAGGUGUUCUGGGUUCAAUCCCCAGUACCUCCA